Molecule: ribosomal RNA, 247 nt
Filed under: Euplotes focardii
Lineage: Eukaryota; Ciliophora; Spirotrichea; Euplotida; Euplotidae
Description: partial Bacterial large subunit ribosomal RNA
Rfam family: Bacterial large subunit ribosomal RNA
Source: RNAcentral
AGUCGAUGGGAAACAGGUUAAUAUUCCUGUACUUCUUUAUAUUGCGAUGGGGAGACGGAGAAAGCUAGGCCAGCAUGGCGAUGGUUGUCCAUGUUUAAGGUAGUAGGCUGGGGACUUAGGCAAAUCCGGGUCCCUAAGGCCGAGAACUGAUGACGAGAUCUCUUUUAGAGAUUGAAGUGGUUGAUGCUCUGCUUCCAGGAAAAUCCUCUAAGCUUCAGAUAUAAAGGAACCGUACCCCAAACCGACA